GGAGGAGUGGCAGAGUGGUCGAAUGCACCGGUCUUGAAAACCGGCGUGCGUGAAAGCGUACCGUGGGUUCGAAUCCCACCUCCUCCGCCA
This 90-nucleotide transfer RNA is filed under the name Roseobacter denitrificans. RNAcentral's name for it is "tRNA-Ser". It matches the Rfam family "tRNA". Rfam says of the family: Transfer RNA (tRNA) molecules are approximately 80 nucleotides in length. Their secondary structure includes four short double-helical elements and three loops (D, anti-codon, and T loops). Lineage: Bacteria; Pseudomonadati; Pseudomonadota; Alphaproteobacteria; Rhodobacterales; Roseobacteraceae. RNAcentral also lists the same sequence under 137 other names. The record is from RNAcentral.